Molecule: ribosomal RNA, 305 nt
Filed under: uncultured bacterium
Lineage: Bacteria
Description: bacterial SSU rRNA
Rfam family: Bacterial small subunit ribosomal RNA
Source: RNAcentral
UCUUCCUACGGGGGGCAGCAGUGAGGAAUAUUGGUCAAUGGCCGAGAGGCUGAACCAGCCAAGUCGCGUGAGGGAAGACGGCCCUACGGGUUGUAAACCUCUUUUGUCGGGGAGCAAAGCGAGUCACGUGUGACUCAUUGAGAGUACCCGAAGAAAAAGCAUCGGCUAACUCCGUGCCAGCAGCCGCGGUAAUACGGAGGAUGCGAGCGUUAUCCGGAUUUAUUGGGUUUAAAGGGUGCGUAGGCGGGCUGUUAAGUCAUCGGUAAAAGCCCGGGGCUCAACCCCGGCGAGCCGUUGAAACUGGC